RNAcentral lists this ribosomal RNA (239 nucleotides) under uncultured bacterium. RNAcentral describes it as "partial 16S ribosomal RNA". It matches the Rfam family "Bacterial small subunit ribosomal RNA", at positions 538 to 776 of the family's 1533-position model. The record is from RNAcentral.
GCGUUGCUCGGAAUCACUGGGCGUAAAGGGCGCGUAGGCGGCCAUUCAAGUCCGAGGUGAAAGCCCAAGGCUCAACCUUGGAAUUGCCUUUGAUACUGUUUGGCUUGAGACCGGAAGAGGUUAGUGGAACUGCGAGUGUAGAGGUGAAAUUCGUAGAUAUUCGCAAGAACACCAGUGGCGAAGGCGGCUAACUGGUCCGGUUCUGACGCUGAGGCGCGAAAGCGUGGGGAGCAAACAGG